Long non-coding RNA from Eucalyptus grandis, 183 nucleotides. RefSeq lists it as uncharacterized. The transcript has 2 exons. The record is from RefSeq and is a predicted model, not a curated record. Lineage: Eukaryota; Viridiplantae; Streptophyta; Magnoliopsida; Myrtales; Myrtaceae.
UCCCCUUGUUUUCUCUCGUUCUUCGCUCCCGCCUCGAGGCUCUGCUGCAGAUUAAAUGAAGAAAUGAAGGGCAUGGAAAGUCUAGCGACACAAUUGUAUCCUUGACUAGAUGGAAAAAGUCUUUAUCGUUGCUGCAGUGUUUGUCCUGAACACAUUUUUGUCCUAUGAACUUAGAAAUUUAUC